This 595-nucleotide ribosomal RNA is filed under the name uncultured bacterium. RNAcentral describes it as "bacterial SSU rRNA". It matches the Rfam family "Bacterial small subunit ribosomal RNA", at positions 263 to 858 of the family's 1533-position model. The record is from RNAcentral.
GCUCACCAAACCUACGAUGGAUAGGGGUUCUGAGAGGAAGGUCCCCCACACUGGUACUGAGACACGGUCCAGACUCCUACGGGAGGCAGCAGUGAGGAAUAUUGGUCAAUGGGCGCGAGCCUGAACCAGCCACGUCGCGUGAAGGAUGACGGCCUUAUGGGUUGUAAACUUCUUUUACAGGGGAGUAAAGUGAGUCACGUGUGAUUUUUUGCAUGUACCCUGUGAAUAAGCAUCGGCUAACUCCGUGCCAGCAGCCGCGGUAAUACGGAGGAUGCGAGCGUUAUCCGGAUUUAUUGGGUUUAAAGGGUGCGUAGGCGGGAUAUUAAGUCAGCGGUGAAAGUUUUCGGCUCAACCUUAAAAUUGCCGUUGAAACUGUGGUUCUUGAGUGCAGAAGAGGUAGGCGGAAUUCGUUGUGUAGCGGUGAAAUGCGUAGAUAUAACGAAGAACACCAAUUGCGUAGGCAGCUUACCAUACUGCAACUGACGCUGAGGCACGAAAGUGUGGGUAUCAAACAGGAUUAGAUACCCUGGUAGUCCACACAGUAAACGAUGAAUACUAGCUGUUUGCGAUACACUGCAAGUGGCCGAGCGAAAGC